ACGACUUGAAUGAGCCCCAUUUGGAGCUCAGAAGUCGUCAAAAACACUAGUCCUGUUCAGUUGUAGGAGGUGGGACUAGGGGUGUUAACUGACGACAAAUGACCUGGAGCACAGCUGAUCCCCCCUCCUCCAAGACCAUCGAUCUCAACAGAACUGCUGAAGCCCAGGCUGAAGUGCAACAAGUGUUCUCAUAUCCUAUGUCCCUGUUGCCAAGUAAAUUGGGAAAAUGAAAACUGAUGCUGAGUGAUAAGGCCUGGUCCCCCAGUGUAAGUACUGUACCAGUUCAUGUCAGGUUUUCCACCUGCCAAAGCCACAAGUUUAGCUUAUUUGGCAUUUUGAGUUACAGUAGAUCUUCUGAGUGUCAGUGAGGCUUUGUCACACAGCGUCUCUUCAGCAACAGACAUGUGACAUCGCUAACAUCAGAGAUUAAGAACAUGUUCAAAUAAACAUCAACAUGACUGACA
This 464-nucleotide long non-coding RNA is filed under the name Betta splendens (Siamese fighting fish). RNAcentral's name for it is "lncRNA (ENSBSLG00000022528.1)". Lineage: Eukaryota; Metazoa; Chordata; Actinopteri; Anabantiformes; Osphronemidae. The record is from RNAcentral.